RNAcentral lists this ribosomal RNA (462 nucleotides) under Polychaeta sp. A ZW-2021. RNAcentral's name for it is "partial large subunit ribosomal RNA". It matches the Rfam family "Bacterial large subunit ribosomal RNA", at positions 1808 to 2541 of the family's 2925-position model. The record is from RNAcentral. Lineage: Eukaryota; Metazoa; Annelida; Polychaeta.
CAAAAACAUUGCCUUCUGCCCAAAAAUAGAAGGUACAUCCUGCCCAGUGAAUUAAAUUUUAACGGCCGCGGUACCCUGACCGUGCAAAGGUAGCAUAAUCACUUGCCCCUUAAUUAGGGGCUAGAAUGAAUGGACAAACGAAAUUCUAGCUGUCUUCAAAAGUAAAACUAAAAAUUAACCUUUAAAUGAAAAGGCUUAAAUAAAAAUAAAAGACAAGAAGACCCUAUCGAGCUUGAUCUUCUACAACAUCCCUAGAUUUAAAAACCAUCUAUACCUCUAAAAAAGAUUUAGUUGGGGCAACUUAGGAUAAAUUAAAUCAUCCUAUAACAAUAAGAAAUACAAUUCUCACUAUUGAUCCAAACAAACUGAUUAAAGAACAAAGCUACCGUAGGGAUAACAGGCUUAAUUUUCCCCAAGAGAUCACAUUAAAGGGCAAAAUUGGCACCUCGAUGUUGGCUUAAA